This is a long non-coding RNA of Cyprinus carpio (common carp), 237 nucleotides long. RefSeq lists it as uncharacterized. The transcript is spliced from 3 exons. NCBI's taxonomy places the organism in Eukaryota, Metazoa, Chordata, Actinopteri, Cypriniformes, Cyprinidae. The record is from RefSeq and is a predicted model, not a curated record.
AAACUCCUCACACCUGAGAGAGCUGGAUCUGAGCUACAAUCACCCAGGACAAUCAGGAGUCCAGCUGCUCAGGCACAAACUGGAGGAUCCAAACUAUAAACUGCAGAUACUAAACGUGGAUCACGGAGAAGAGCUCAGGAUGAGAGCAGGACCACGAAAGUAUGCCUGUUUUCUCACACUGGAUCCAAACAAACACAGCAUAUACUAAACUCAGUCUGUCUGAGGAGAACAGAAAGG